Molecule: ribosomal RNA, 281 nt
Filed under: uncultured bacterium
Lineage: Bacteria
Description: partial 16S ribosomal RNA
Rfam family: Bacterial small subunit ribosomal RNA
Source: RNAcentral
GUGCCAGCAGCCGCGGUAAUACAUAGGGGUCAAGCGUUGUCCGGAUUUAUUGGGCGUAAAGAGCUCGUAGGCGGUUCAACAAGUCGGUCGUAAAAGUUUAGGGCUCAACCCUAAAAUGUCGAUCGAUACUGUUGUGACUAGGAUACGGUAGAGGUGAGUGGAAUUCCUAGUGUAGAGGUGAAAUUCGUAGAUAUUAGGAAGAACAUCAGUGGCGGAGGCGACUCACUGGUCCGAUACUGACGCUGAGGUGCGAAAGCGUGGGGAGCAAACAGGAUUAGAUA